UCCCGGGUCGUCUAAUGGUAGGACUGAGGACUUUGAAUCCUCCAAUCCAGGUUCGAAUCCUGGCCCGGGAGCCA
This 74-nucleotide transfer RNA is filed under the name Chloroflexota bacterium. RNAcentral's name for it is "tRNA-Gln". It matches the Rfam family "tRNA". From Rfam's summary of the family: Transfer RNA (tRNA) molecules are approximately 80 nucleotides in length. Their secondary structure includes four short double-helical elements and three loops (D, anti-codon, and T loops). RNAcentral also lists the same sequence under 1 other name. Lineage: Bacteria; Bacillati; Chloroflexota. The record is from RNAcentral.